Molecule: ribosomal RNA, 476 nt
Filed under: uncultured anaerobic ammonium-oxidizing bacterium
Lineage: Bacteria
Description: bacterial SSU rRNA
Rfam family: Bacterial small subunit ribosomal RNA
Source: RNAcentral
UUCGCAAUGCCCGAAAGGGUGACAAUGCGACGCCGCGUGUGUGAUGAAGGUCUUCGGAUCGUAAAACACUGUCGGCCGGGAGGAAUCUCUGGAGGCAUAAUAUGUCUGCAGGGUGACAGUACCGGCAAAGGAAGCCACGGCUAACUCCGUGCCAGCAGCCGCGGUAAUGCGUAUGGUGCGAACGUUGUUCGGAAUCACUGGGCAUAAAGAGCACGUAGGCGGUUGAGCAAGUCCAUUGUGAAAUCCCCCGGCUUAACCGGGGAACUACAGUGGAUACUACUUGACUUGAGUGCGGGAGGGGAGAGUGGAAUUCCAGGUGGAGCGGUGAAAUGCGUAGAUAUCUGGAGGAACGCCGGUGGCGAAAGCGACUCUCUGGUCCGUAACUGACGCUGAGGUGCGAAAGCUAGGGGAGCAAACGGGAUUAGAUACCCCGGUAGUCCUAGCCCUAAACGAUGGGCACUAAGUAGAGGGGUUUU